This 253-nucleotide ribosomal RNA is filed under the name uncultured bacterium. RNAcentral's name for it is "partial 16S ribosomal RNA". It matches the Rfam family "Bacterial small subunit ribosomal RNA", at positions 524 to 776 of the family's 1533-position model. The record is from RNAcentral.
UACGAAGGGGGCUAGCGUUGUUCGGAAUUACUGGGCGUAAAGCGUAUGUAGGCGGAUCUUUAAGUCGGGGGUGAAAUCCCGAGGCUCAACCUCGGAACUGCCUUCGAUACUGAAGAUCUUGAGUCCGGGAGAGGUGAGUGGAACUGCGAGUGUAGAGGUGAAAUUCGUAGAUAUUCGCAAGAACACCAGUGGCGAAGGCGGCUCACUGGCCCGGUACUGACGCUGAUGCACGAAAGCUAGGGGAGCAAACAGG